This 794-nucleotide ribosomal RNA is filed under the name Falklandius kuscheli. RNAcentral's name for it is "partial 16S ribosomal RNA". The stretch from base 1 to 579 matches the Rfam family "Bacterial large subunit ribosomal RNA", at positions 1819 to 2925 of the family's 2925-position model. The record is from RNAcentral. Lineage: Eukaryota; Metazoa; Arthropoda; Insecta; Coleoptera; Curculionidae.
GGCCUUUUGUUUAUGAUUUAAGGUCUAGCCUGCCCAAUGAGAUUUUGAAUGGCCGCGGUAUUUUAACCGUGCAAAGGUAGCAUAAUCAUUAGUUUUUUAAUUAAAAGCUGGUAUGAAUGGUUGAAUGAAAAAAUAACUGUCUCUAUUUAAAUUUUUUAGAAUUUUAUUUUUAAGUAAAAAAGCUUAAAUUAUAUUAGAAGACGAGAAGACCCUGUAGAGUUUAAUUAAUUAUUAUAAUAGGAUUUUUAGUAUUUUUAUUUUUAUUAUUUAUAAUUAAUUUAGUUGGGGUGAUUUAAAAAUUUAAUAAACUUUUUUUAUAUUUAUACAUUAAUUUAUGAUUACUUGAUCCUUAUUUUAAGAUUAAAAGAUAAAAUUACCUUAGGGAUAACAGCGUAAUUUUUUUAGAGAGUUCUAAUCGAAAAAAAAGAUUGCGACCUCGAUGUUGGAUUAAAAUAAAAAUUUGGUGUAGAAGCUAAAGUAUUUAGGUCUGUUCGACCUUUAAAAUUUUACAUGAUCUGAGUUUAAACCGGUGUAAGCCAGGUUGGUUUCUAUCUCUAUUUUAAAUAAAUAUUUUAGUACGAAAGGACCAAAUAUUAGGUUUAAAAUUUUAUAUUUGAAUAUAAUUAUUAUUUUGGCAGAUUAGUGCAAUAGAUUUAGAAUCUUUUUAUGUAAUUUAAUUACAAAUAAUACUUGAUAUUUAGUGAUUUAGUUUUAAUGAUUCUAUCGAGGCUUAUUUUAGUUAUCUCUGUUUUAGUUGGCGUGGCUUUUUUAACUUUAUUAGAGCGUAAAGUUUU